RNAcentral lists this long non-coding RNA (293 nucleotides) under Nicotiana benthamiana. RNAcentral's name for it is "long non-coding RNA (NBEN_LNC008665)". The record is from RNAcentral. Lineage: Eukaryota; Viridiplantae; Streptophyta; Magnoliopsida; Solanales; Solanaceae.
CCGCCCUUAGAAUCCCUUCGUCUCUCAAACUCUCUCUAACCCUCUCUGAAACCCUAGCCCUACUCCGCUGGUUUCCACCUUGUUUCACCAGAAUCCAUGGCGUCCCAAGCCAUGGGUGUCCUAUGCUCACCCUCAUGUGCCCUCAUACCCCUGUUACUUGAAGAUUCAAGGUUUGAGCUUGAAGGCCUUCGCUCAGAUCUCCGUCGAUUCGAAUGUUACGGCCAUCUUUGGCUUGACUACGGCAUAUGCUAGCCCUAUGAGUCCAUCUCUGACUCAUUCGACUCGGAGCAGAC